CAUGCAAGUCGAACGAGAAUCUACUGAAAGAGUUUUCGGACGAUGGAUGUAGAGGAAAGUGGCGGACGGGUGAGUAACGCGUGAGGAACCUGCCUUGAAGAGGGGGACAACAGUUGGAAACGACUGCUAAUACCGCAUGACGCAUAGAGGUCGCAUGAUCUUUAUGCCAAAGAUUUAUCGCUUCAAGAUGGCCUCGCGUCUGAUUAGCUAGUUGGCGGGGUAACGGCCCACCAAGGCGACGAUCAGUAGCCGGACUGAGAGGUUGAACGGCCACAUUGGGACUGAGAUACGGCCCAGACUCCUACGGGAGGCAGCAGUGGGGAAUAUUGGGCAAUGGGCGCAAGCCUGACCCAGCAACGCCGCGUGAAGGAAGAAGGCUUUCGGGUUGUAAACUUCUUUUAAGAGGGAAGAGCAGAAGGCGGUACCUCUAGAAUAAGCCACGGCUAACUACGUGCCAGCAGCCGCGGUAAUACGUAGGUGGCAAGCGUUGUCCGGAUUUACUGGGUGUAAAGGGCGUGCAGCCGGGUCUGCAAGUCAGAUGUGAAAUCCAUGGGCUCAACCCAUGAACUGCAUUUGAAACUGUAGAUCUUGAGUGUCGGAGGGGCAAUCGGAAUUCCUAGUGUAGCGGUGAAAUGCGUAGAUAUUAGGAGGAACACCAGUGGCGAAGGCGGAUUGCUGGACGAUAACUGACGGUGAGGCGCGAAAGUGUGGGGAGCAAACAGGAUUAGAUACCCUGGUAGUCCACACUGUAAACGAUGAAUACUAG
This 766-nucleotide ribosomal RNA is filed under the name uncultured bacterium. RNAcentral's name for it is "bacterial SSU rRNA". It matches the Rfam family "Bacterial small subunit ribosomal RNA", at positions 54 to 819 of the family's 1533-position model. The record is from RNAcentral.